CUGCCUGCCCCAGCCCCAGCCUGGGUGGGCAAAGGUUCAGGGAUCAGGUUCAUUGUCCCUCAGAGCAGCUGCACUUCCCCACUGAUGGCUGGGCUGGAAUGCAACUGCAGAGACCUUCAGACCACCCUGCACCCCAGCAAACCUGGGCAACAACUAAUGCCACUGAAUUACACAUCUGACACUCCAGUUCUACUCAUCACACAAUUGCCAGUGAGUCAGACUCCCUGAGCUGGGAUGUGUCUCAGGUCGGACUGAGCCAUGGUAGUACCUGGAGAGAGUCACCAGGACACCAGAGAGCAGGGCACAGGGGAGAUGCCAACAGGCAUUUGGUUCUGCAACUUCACAGAAGCACGUUCUGUUUUCACCAGAGCUGGUGACUCUUAGUCCUGCCUAAUGCCAGAGCUUUGCCCUUUGAGCUUCACUCCACACCAUCACAGCCCUGGGAGCACACUGUGGGUCACAGGCUCUCCUGGACCAGAGGGCAAUUUUGGAUAUGGGCAGUCCCUGUGGCUUCCAGUUUAUGUGAACAGGAAAGGUCACUGACCUGAUCUUAUCCAAGACAAAGGGCUGGGAAGAGAAAAGAAAGGGUAACUAAAAAAAUCCACAAAUGUUCAGUUUGUGGGUAGCGCUUUAAGAAUGAAAUGUUUUCGGCUAGUCCCUUCAGGUGCCUGCCAUCCCACAGCCUCCAAAUAGGCAUGUGAUGCUGCAGGAAUGUGCUUCACAAGGUCUGGCAUUCUGAGAAGGGCAGCAGUUUAUCCACCUCCUCAGUGUUCUGCACCACAAUUAAUAGGAGCUUCACUGCUAUACAUCCAAGAUGUGGUCUGGCCCUGGAUAAGAUUUUAUAGCAACUCUUAAAAGGGAUGAGUUAUCAGAAAAAAACCAAACAUCUUAACAUCAACAAAACCUGCAAAAAAUAAAGCACAAGAAACCAACCACACAGGCACAAGCACAAGCUUCCAGACAUUUAAUUACAAAAUAAAUGCAUAUGACAGACAUCAACAAGCCUACAGGAAGAUUCCUGCUUCAGUAUUCAAUGCAGCCUCAAUAAAUAUUUCAAGGUUUCAAAUGGAUGCUUUGCAAUAGCACAGUUUCCAUUUGCACAAGUGCCAGAAGGAAGAAUUCAACACAGGCUUAAAGCAAAACCAGAGUAUUUUCCUGUAAAACUUUAAUUGGGAAACUGACACUAUAUAAUCUGUACAUCAUUGCCUCCGAGCUGUUGUUAAAAAAUUAAAGCUGUAUCAAAAGAACUGCUUUGUUAAAUUAACACGUUAUGCAUACCAGACAUAAUCUGCACCAGGAAGGGAAAUAGCUUUGAGUCCAAAAUGCACUGAUUGCUGUGGUCGUUAUUGACAGAGGCUGAGCCAAGCAAUGUCAGCACAAUAAAGCAUCUCUCAGGCCUCCAGUACAGACACACACCCUUCCAAACGCCCAGCCUUGAUUUCAAAACCCGAAUAAAACCAGCAGACGAGCAGGAUUUCAUUAUGGUGACAGUUACAGCUACAAAUCACACACCAGACUGGCCACGGGGGCCUCUCACCCAUGGACAGAAGACAUCCCAGGCCUUUGCCCAGGGGAAGCACUCCCUUCCCCACGCUUGCUCAGCAGCAUCUGCAGGAUCCCAGCACUGCCAGGACAGGCAUCUGCAGCCUGGGGGAGAGAAGUUGAGGGGCCUGGUUUGAGGAGAGGGAUGGUCAGACACAGGACAAGCAGCACAGAGCUCCUUAUAUUCUAGGCACAAGACAUAAAAAUGAGGUGGAUCUUCUGUUUAGAACUACCUCACCCAUUUUAGUAAAUACUCAGUAAAACACUCUCCCAUCUAUGUAUCUUGACAAUAGACAUGAGUACCACUACCCCAUUUUAAGGCCAGAGGAACUCAGGCACUGACACUCAGAGCAAUCCCCUCAAGGCCUCUAUGAACGUACUAAUUUAAAACCUCAUUUGCUCAGGGUUCUUUGCUGCAACUUGUCCAUUCUGACCCUGAGGUUUGCUCAGCAAACACAGGACAAAACCAAACCAAGUGCCCCAAGUGGUCCCAAGUCUAUGACCACCUCCUCCAUUGAACCUUUGCAAGCCCAUGUCACACUCACCAUCAGUUUGGCUUUAGAUCAGUGGGGGUUCAUCAAACAGGCCACACUUUGAAAUGUGACUCAUCACUUCGUGUGCCCAAACUCCCGACAACGCGACAGCCUCAAAGAGGCCAAGUUUUCUAAAAAUACAGAGCCUGCUCCCUCCGAAGAGCCUGCUUCCUCUCAUAUGUUUCAAGCUGUUCACCUCCGAAUUUGAAGUGCCAAAGCAAUUUUAGAAGAUCUGAAUGAUAACCUUUGCUCAGUAAGAUAUCACAGCCCUGCACGUGAUGGGCUGUAGCUUCAUUGCGUGUCCUGAGAGUCUGAGGCACUGCUGUGGUCUGCAGCGGUGAAGGCGGGUUAACAGUUUUGAGGCUUUCAAGAUAAGCAAAAUUUCCCCUGACGUUGUAAACUCUUCAGGUGGUUAGAGAGAACAGUUUCUGGUUUUUUGAUGUCUUCUCAGAAAAGAGCUCACACAAUUUUAUCAGUCUCUGGGGUGACCAUCAGAUAACCAAGCUAUUCCUGUCGGAACCACUCAAUGCAUCUCCCCCUUCCUGUCACUGGCAAUCCACAAGACGACCAGGGGAUUCGAGCUAACCACAGGGCUCACAACUUAACUGAUUAAGUAGGUGGGAACUGAUGCCAGCUCAGCUCAAAGUGCCUCUCUUGCUAACCAGAAGCUCGCCGCAAGCUGUGGAGGGGAAUGACCACAGAUAACACACUGAUACCGAAACGGUUUGGUGAAGCUGCAGCUUCCUGUUCGAGGGCUCUCGCAAUCUCUCAGAAAUGAAUCUUCAGCAGGAAACUGGCUGCAGUUAAACAGGCUGUCUGGGUCGUCAUGUGGCGUGUAUUACUGCCUCUUGUUUUCAAGGGACCAUUUAUUAUUCUCUCCUGCUCUUCCCUGGCUCUCUAGAAAUGAACUGAAUUAGGACUCCCCAGAGAACAGCAAGUCCUCAGGGGGAAGGAAAGAUGCUCAGACAAAUCAAAGCAGGAGAUGGCAGAAUUUCAUCAAUCUUGUAAAACAGAUAUAUGUUUUACCCACCUUAAAUGCAACAAUUCUUCCUUUGGUGAUUACCAACUGGUCUGAGCACGCUGCUCUAAGAGUUCAAAGCACACACCACGCAGUCUAUACCAUCCCUCAUCUACAGCACUCUAAUUGCUACAGGAUGUCCAAAAAUUGUCCUGUGCUUUGAUUAGCUGAUUUCAAGAGUAGCAUGAACCAUUUCAGCCAUGUCCAGAAAACCCAAACCCCACACUAGAUAGCUUCCUAAUCAAACCCAGCACUUCCUAACAGUUACAAACAGCAAAGUACCAGUCCAAAAAAACUGACCUGAGGUUUACAAACACCCAGCAUCUCCAUCUAACGUGCUUCCCAAAAACUGCCAGUGUCGUGAGGCUUUCUGGUGAACACAUGUGGGGAACUAAUCAGACAAGAGAAUUCCUGAGGAUACUACAGAUCUAGGCCAUAAGUGCUCAGGCACACAAAAUCUUAUCCAUCAUGUAGCACAGAGAUGAAAUGCAGACAGCAAAGGUAUGAAUCAGGCUACACUCCUGUAGAAAACCACUGCAGCCGUGUCCACAGUGAGGUAACUAUGAUAAAUGUUCCAUCCUCCUGGUUGCAAACCUCUGAAUAUUCACCAUCAGAAGCACAGCAAUUCAUCUGGAAAGAAUGUAUAAAUAAGGCAGCUAAUUCCAUUAAAUCCUACAUGUGAUACCACUGGAGUGUGGAACUCAGCAGCACUGUGUAAGGACCACUAGUGCUUGCUGGAUUUUUUAUUAUUGUUUGAGACACAUACUAACUCUAUAAUCAAAAGCAAUUUUGAGCUUAAAACUGACCUCGAGGUUACCAGACUCUAUGGCAGACUGUUCCCUUUCGUUGGGAGUACACUGCACAGCCAAGAUGUGAGCACACACACACCGGAUGGGCCACAGGGCUAAUUAAAAAGUGGCUUUGUUGGUUGUGUCUGUUCCAAGAGCAGGUUAGUAAACCAAACUUUAUAAAAAGUAAUGAAACCGAAGGUGCUACAGACGCAGACAAUUCCCACAAAAACAAAGCAGAGCUCAGAGUGAUGAACAGUUGUUUUACUCAACCUUAAUACCUUUGAGCUUCUGACCUGUGAUGAGCUGAAAAAAAGAUAGAACAGCUAAAGUCACUUGAAAACUAAGUUGAAACACAGGGUAUUCUGAACUGGAAGUUAAAAAUUUCUUCAUGAAAUUAAGUGUCAUUGAUCAAAGGGUUUUAAAACAACUUUGGGAUACAGCAAUGCCUGAAUUUCAAAAUUACACCACUGCCUCCUUAAAGUUAUUUAAUAAAACAAAAAGACAAGGAAAAAGCAGAGAGUACUUGGCCUCACCAGUUGCCAAAUGGAAUUGAUUCCUCUCACACCCAAGUUGUGCACAAUGGAUUCAUUUACAUUUCUGCCCUUGCCCUGAAUUCCCUGGCUUUCUAGAACUGCAGUUGGUUCUUCAGCAUCACAAAAGUCUCUUACAGUUUAAUUUAUUUAUUUUCUGUAAAAAGGAGAAAGGAAACCUUUCUGAAAUGUUAUCAGCAGGUCACAGUGGCUGAGGCAAGUGUUGACCACAAGGAACCGUGAUGCUGAAACACUGAGGCAGCAGGAAGUGCAAACACUGACCCUGUGCAGACAACACCUCACAUGGUUUCCAUCUGAGUGCUCCUCUUCCAGCAAAGCAAGAGCUGCAGAUGAGAAAUCUGGUCUCUGCAGCAACCAUCUCACUCCUGGAGCAGGAGCUGAACAGUUCCUGGACAGGCACCCAAGGCCCUGGGCUCCUCCCUGAGCUCCUGCAUGCAGGCACAGGCACGGUGCCACCCCGCUCUCUGCCCCUCAGGGACAGGGGAGUGCUGCCUUCCCACUGCAGCCCAACUACACCCCCGGUAUAUUUACAUUUUAGCAGCCAGCUCCACGGCAGCCAGGCUGAAAUACAAAGUGAGAACGAGAGAAACCUCAGCCUACAGCAGAUUUCCACCCCUUGGCAGCUUUCACAGCAGAGCUGCCACACCUUCAGCAAGUUACCAAAAGCUUUCUCCGUGUGAGAGCUGACUUAGGGUUGCAUCUGUUGUUUUGCUAAAUUAAAGUUGCAUCUUAGUCUUCUGUCAGGACAGGGAAGAAACUGAAGAUCUCUCUUGCCUUUAAUAACAUAUCCCAGUUUAAAAAAAAAGAUGACAUGGAAGAAAUACAAGCAGUGAAACUGAGUAAAGACCACUGACCUACAGGACUUACAGGAACACCUUCCUUACACUCUGGAUGUGCAGUGUUUUAUCAUCACCCAAAUAACACACCCUCUCUAGAAUAUUUCAGUGCAGUUUAACAUAGGGAAACCAUUUGGGGACUGACAGGAAAUCAAGGUAUUCCACUGAUUUGCACAAUUAAAUAUUUUAAAUCUCAUGAUGUUUCAAGACAACGGACAGUGAUCCCUCAUGCCAACAACACCCACAAGGUUGAUGCACCCAAUCCCUUUUCUUUAAUCUCUCUUGUUACCUCACUAUCAAGGUCAAAAAACCAUGUUCAUCUUUUAUUUCUAGAGGAGCAUUCUGCAGCAGCACUGUUAUUUCCUCAGCUGCUCCCCUUACACACCGUGGUUUUGGGUGCAGGUUUCUGCAAGGGCACAGUGAGAUACGAGAUAAAACAAGAAAGUGUGAACCCCUGUUACACCCCCACGAAUUUCCUCCGAGGAACUCACCACAGCACCCAGCACAGCAAACACCAGUGCGCUCCAGCAGCCCUCACAAAUGGGCUAUUUUAACCCUCUCUUAAGUUAUAAAACCCCAGCACUGCCCAUUCUCACUGCACAGGACUAUCAGAGAAUUAAGGAAAAAUCAAAAGCAAAUCCCCCAAGAGGCCCCACACUUAACCCCUGUUCAAUGUGCUCAUCAGGUAAGGAGCCCUGAUUCUAAUCUAAUCAACUGUCUGCUUUAAUCAUCUUUUUGUUGGCUUUGGUAAAGGGAAAGAGAGUUAAAACAAGGCAAUGGAUUCUAAGGAAAGAGACCCAUGAGGGCAAAUAACAAUGCAAAAACAGCUGUGACAGACAGGCAAACACCCUGCCCUGUUACACAAAGAACACUACAGCAUAUAUAUGACACAACUGCCUCAGGACAGUCUUAAUCAAAAAGGUCCAGAAAUAAAGACCAGAUAUUCUCAAA
Molecule: long non-coding RNA, 6222 nt
Organism: Corapipo altera (White-ruffed manakin)
Lineage: Eukaryota; Metazoa; Chordata; Aves; Passeriformes; Pipridae
Exons: 2
Source: RefSeq, a predicted model, not a curated record